Molecule: ribosomal RNA, 468 nt
Filed under: uncultured bacterium
Lineage: Bacteria
Description: partial 16S ribosomal RNA
Rfam family: Bacterial small subunit ribosomal RNA
Source: RNAcentral
GACGAACGCUGGCGGCGUGCUUAACACAUGCCAGUCGAACGGAAAGGCCCUGCUUUUGUGGGGUGCUCGAGUGGCGAACGGGUGAGUAACACGUGAGUAACCUGCCCUUGACUUUGGGAUAACUUCAGGAAACUGGGGCUAAUACCGGAUAGGAGCUCCUGCUGCAUGGUGGGGGUUGGAAAGUUUCGGCGGUUGGGGAUGGACUCGCGGCUUAUCAGCUUGUUGGUGGGGUAGUGGCUUACCAAGGCUUUGACGGGUAGCCGGCCUGAGAGGGUGACCGGCCACAUUGGGACUGAGAUACGGCCCAGACUCCUACGGGAGGCAGCAGUGGGGAAUCUUGCACAAUGGGCGGAAGCCUGAUGCAGCAACGCCGCGUGCGGGAUGACGGCCUUCGGGUUGUAAACCGCUUUCGCCUGUGACGAAGCGUGAGUGACGGUAAUGGGUAAAGAAGCACCGGCUAACUACGUG